ACAAAUAGAAUACUCCUUUUAUACAGAAUGGAGCGGGUAGCGGGAAUCGAACCCGCAUCAUUAGCUUGGAAGGCUAGGGGUUAUAGUCGACGUUGGUUGAUUAUUUUUAACGUCUCUAAUUCAAAACCGAAAAUGAAAUUUUGA
This 144-nucleotide ribosomal RNA is filed under the name Triticum aestivum (bread wheat). RNAcentral's name for it is "partial small subunit ribosomal RNA". The record is from RNAcentral. Lineage: Eukaryota; Viridiplantae; Streptophyta; Magnoliopsida; Poales; Poaceae.